RNAcentral lists this ribosomal RNA (301 nucleotides) under uncultured bacterium. RNAcentral describes it as "partial 16S ribosomal RNA". It matches the Rfam family "Bacterial small subunit ribosomal RNA", at positions 509 to 807 of the family's 1533-position model. The record is from RNAcentral.
CAGUCGCCACGGGAAUACGAAGGGGGCUAGCGUUGUUCGGAAUUACUGGGCGUAAAGCGCACGUAGGCGGAUACUUAAGUCAGGGGUGAAAUCCCGGGGCUCAACCCCGGAACUGCCUUUGAUACUGGGUAUCUCGAGUCCGGAAGAGGUGAGUGGAAUUCCGAGUGUAGAGGUGAAAUUCGUAGAUAUUCGGAGGAACACCAGUGGCGAAGGCGGCUUACUGGUCUAGUACUGACGCUGAGGUGCGAAAGCGUGGGGAGCAAACAGGAUUAGAGACCCCGGUAGUCCCUGUCUCUUAUAC